RNAcentral lists this ribosomal RNA (87 nucleotides) under Rhizobiales bacterium 68-8. Its description in RNAcentral is "partial 23S ribosomal RNA". It matches the Rfam family "Bacterial large subunit ribosomal RNA", at positions 2846 to 2925 of the family's 2925-position model. The record is from RNAcentral. Lineage: Bacteria; Pseudomonadati; Pseudomonadota; Alphaproteobacteria; Hyphomicrobiales.
GACCACGUUGAUAGGCCGGGUGUGGAAGUGCGGCAACGCAUGAAGCUUACCGGUACUAAUAGCUCGAUCGGCUUGAUCAUUCUCAUU